This 776-nucleotide long non-coding RNA is filed under the name Spirodela polyrhiza (greater duckweed). Its description in RNAcentral is "long non-coding RNA (SPOL_LNC002471)". The record is from RNAcentral. Lineage: Eukaryota; Viridiplantae; Streptophyta; Magnoliopsida; Alismatales; Araceae.
GGUGCUUGAGCCCGCCGCCCGGCUUCGGGCGGCCGCCGAUGAGCGCCGUGGUGGCGGAGCUCGAUCGGAUCCUGGAGAAAGAGAGGAGCUUGACAACAGUCAUGGGCGAAGCCACCCCGAGCGUGACCCUCGGAAGCGAGCUGUUCACAUCCUAGAGAGAGAAGACCCACCAGUCGCUUGCAGUCCAUGGAAGAACUCAGAUGGCGGCGGCCAGCUGACAGGCAAGUGUAUAAAAGAAACAGCUGGCACCAGGUGUCAACCCUUUUUGCCAAAUUAAGUACUAUAUUUCAUGCAUCAUUUUUCCUUCUGUGAAGAAAGUCAAUGGAAAUAAUCAAGAACUGUGAACAUAAACUGAGAUCACGUGAGGGGUUCAGACCUGAUAGGUGAGCUUCCACUCACUGUUCAGAGGCAUGGUCAACGCCAAAGAAGGGGCGGGGGGUCAAAUACUGUUACACCAAGUCUUGCCGCAUCUUCUCGAACUAAAGGGUACAAGAGAGAUUUCCCAUCUCUAAUUACAUCCUUUUCAAUGGUUGGGGCCCUGGGGCCUGCUACAGGUCAAGAUCGUCUCCUAUUUACAGUUUUAGGACAGAUCAGAUAGAUGAGCUGGUGCGCCUCAAUUUAGAGAGAGGGCCUGAAAGAUAUGCGGCCCAGAGAGAGAUAGAUAGCGAGAGAGAGAGAGAGAGAGAGAGAGAGAGAGAGAGAGAGAGAGAGAGAGAGAGAGAGAGAGAGAGAGAGAGAGAGAGAGAGAGAGAGAGAGAGAGAGAGAGAGAGAGNNN